RNAcentral lists this long non-coding RNA (845 nucleotides) under Marmota monax (woodchuck). Lineage: Eukaryota; Metazoa; Chordata; Mammalia; Rodentia; Sciuridae. The record is from RNAcentral.
UAUCCCUUCGUUCAGUGGUGGACAGUGGGCUGUUUUCACCUUCCAGGUGCUGUGAAGAGCACUGCCCUGGACGUUAAGCGUUGUUUGAACACCUGUUUUCACCUCUCUUGGGUAUGCCCGAGGAGUGGAAUUGCUGGAUCACAUGGUGACUCUGUUUGCUUUUUGAGAAAUCACCAAACUAUUUUCACAGCAGCUAAAAUAUUUCAUGCUGCCCCUGGUGUUGUAUGAGGGUUUCAUUUUUUUCUCCAUCUUUGCAAAUACCCCUUAAGUCUUUUUAUUUUUUAGAUGGGUGAUAGUAAGACAUUUUCCUUCAUAGCCUGGAAGGAUCCAACAGAGGAAGAAAUUGUGUGUGCUGAAGAUAAAUGAGAUCACUGCUGCAGAGAAAUUCAAGAGGACAAGAGGCACAGGCCCAUAGACCCAGUGAGGGAUCCUCCAAAAUGAGAAGUCUGUUAGGUGUUGGACAAAUGAAAUGAGAAAAGAGAACUGUCUCUGCCUUCAAGGCCCUGGAGGGUCUCUGGUGGGCUUCUCACCCCAGGGUGAGAAGCUUCCCCACUGGGCAGUGGGGAAGAAAUGGGAUUGUGAGUGGUCUUGCUUUAAAUCUUAGUGCUCACCCACAGAUGUUGCUUUGGAUGCGUAGUCUAAUCCUUAAACUUCAGUAUCCACAGACACACAACGGAAUGCUCUGCUCUAGGACUCAGUGAGGCUUAUGCAUGACAUGUGCCUGGCAUACAGUAGGUGCUUAUUAAAUGUAGGCCCUGCUCCUUGGUUCAUUCUUUCAAUACAUUGUGAAUUAUUGGAUAGAAGUAACAAAUUUACUGCUAUUUGCAACCUUCUUAGCUUCUAGC